Molecule: ribosomal RNA, 253 nt
Filed under: uncultured bacterium
Lineage: Bacteria
Description: partial 16S ribosomal RNA
Rfam family: Bacterial small subunit ribosomal RNA
Source: RNAcentral
UACGUAGGGUCCGAGCGUUGUCCGGAAUUAUUGGGCGUAAAGGGCUCGUAGGCGGUUUGUCGCGUCGGGAGUGAAAACACCGGGCUUAACUCGGUGCUUGCUUUCGAUACGGGCAGACUUGAGGCAUGCAGGGGAGAACGGAAUUCCUGGUGUAGCGGUGAAAUGCGCAGAUAUCAGGAAGAACACCCGUGGCGAAGGCGGCUCUCUGGGACGGUACUGACGCUGAGACGCGAAAGCGUGGGGAGCGAACAGG